RNAcentral lists this ribosomal RNA (429 nucleotides) under Bacteroidota bacterium. Its description in RNAcentral is "Bacteroidetes bacterium partial 16S ribosomal RNA". It matches the Rfam family "Bacterial small subunit ribosomal RNA", at positions 355 to 776 of the family's 1533-position model. The record is from RNAcentral. Lineage: Bacteria; Pseudomonadati; Bacteroidota.
UAGGGAAUCUUCGGCAAUGGGGGGAACCCUGACCGAGCAACGCCGCGUGAGUGAAGAAGGUUUUCGGAUCGUAAAACUCUGUUAUUAGGGAAGAACAAAUGUGUAAGUAACUAUGCACGUCUUGACGGUACCUAAUCAGAAAGCCACGGCUAACUACGUGCCAGCAGCCGCGGUAAUACGUAGGUGGCAAGCGUUAUCCGGAAUUAUUGGGCGUAAAGCGCGCGUAGGCGGUUUUUUAAGUCUGAUGUGAAAGCCCACGGCUCAACCGUGGAGGGUCAUUGGAAACUGGAAAACUUGAGUGCAGAAGAGGAAAGUGGAAUUCCAUGUGUAGCGGUGAAAUGCGCAGAGAUAUGGAGGAACACCAGUGGCGAAGGCGACUUUCUGGUCUGUAACUGACGCUGAUGUGCGAAAGCGUGGGAAUCAAACAGG